UACAGAGGGGGCAAGCGUUAUUCGGAAUUAUUGGGCGUAAAGGGCGCGUAGGCGGCAUGGCAAGUGGAUGGUGAAAUCCCUCGGCUUAACCGAGGAACUGCCGUCCAAACUGCUUCGCUUGAGACCGGGAGAGGUGAGUGGAAUUCCCAGUGUAGCGGUGAAAUGCGUAGAUAUUGGGAGGAACACCAGUGGCGAAGGCGGCUCACUGGACCGGUACUGACGCUGAAGCGCGAAAGCUAGGGGAGCGAACGGG
Molecule: ribosomal RNA, 253 nt
Filed under: uncultured bacterium
Lineage: Bacteria
Description: partial 16S ribosomal RNA
Rfam family: Bacterial small subunit ribosomal RNA
Source: RNAcentral